Ornithorhynchus anatinus (platypus) is the source of this 138-nucleotide non-coding RNA. The record is from Rfam. NCBI's taxonomy places the organism in Eukaryota, Metazoa, Chordata, Mammalia, Monotremata, Ornithorhynchidae.
CCCCUCUUGGGGUCGCAACUGGAGAGUUUCCAAUACUCUACCAGACUCGACUGCGGGAGGGAGAGUCAAGCAGAGGCACAUCCAUGCCAUUCCUAGCUUAAGCAGUGGCUUGCGAGUGGAAGGCAAUAUGCUACAAGU